GGCGAGUGAAGUGGGAAAAGCUCAACUUUGAAAUCUGGCACCUUCGGUGUCCGAGUUGUAGUCUCAAGAAAAGUUUUCUGUGCCGGCCCGUGUAUGAGUCUGUUGGAACACAGCGUCAUAGAGGGUGACAACCCCGUUCAUGACACGGAUCCCGGUGCUUUGUGAUACUUUCUCGAAGAGUCGAGUUGUUUGGGAAUGCAGCUCAAAUUGGGUGGUAAAUUCCAUCUAAAGCUAAAUAUUGGCGAGAGACCGAUAGCAAACAAGUACCGUGAGGGAAAGAUGAAAAGCACUUUGGAAAGAGAGUUAACAGUACGUGAAAUUGUUGAAAGGGAAACGAUUGAAGUCAGACGUGCGUGAUGCGGUUCAGCUCUAGUUCGCUAGAGUGUACUCCGUAUCUUUGCAGGCCAACAUCGGUUUUGUUAGUCGGAUAAAGGUUAGAGAAAUGUGGCAUCUUCGGAUGUGUUAUAGUCUCUGACUGAAUACGAUUGAUGGGACCGAGGAACGCAGCGCGCCGCAAGGCAAAGGUUCCGACCUUUUCGCGCUUAGGAUGUUGGUGAAAUGGCUUUAAACGACCCGUCUUGA
This 582-nucleotide ribosomal RNA is filed under the name Cystobasidium alpinum. RNAcentral describes it as "eukaryotic LSU rRNA". It matches the Rfam family "Eukaryotic large subunit ribosomal RNA", at positions 88 to 657 of the family's 3401-position model. Lineage: Eukaryota; Fungi; Basidiomycota; Cystobasidiomycetes; Cystobasidiales; Cystobasidiaceae. The record is from RNAcentral.